GACGAACGCUGGCGGCGUGCUUAUCACAUGCAAUUCGAACGGAAAGGCCCUGCUUUUGUGGGGUGCUCGAGUGGCGAACGGGUGAGUAACACGUGAGUAACCUGCCCUUGACUUUGGGAUAACUUCAGGAAACUGGGGCUAAUACCGGAUAGGAGCUCCUGCUGCAUGGUGGGGGUUGGAAAGUUUCGGCGGUUGGGGAUGGACUCGCGGCUUAUCAGCUUGUUGGUGGGGUAGUGGCUUACCAAGGCUUUGACGGGUAGCCGGCCUGAGAGGGUGACCGGCCACAUUGGGACUGAGAUACGGCCCAGACUCCUACGGGAGGCAGCAGUGGGGAAUAUUGAACAAUGGGCGGAAGCCUGAUGCAGCAACGCCGCGUGCGGGAUGACGGCCUUCGGGUUGUAAACCGCUUUCGCCUGUGACGAAGCGUGAGUGACGGUAAUGGGUAAAGAAGCACCGGCUAACUACGUG
RNAcentral lists this ribosomal RNA (468 nucleotides) under uncultured bacterium. RNAcentral describes it as "partial 16S ribosomal RNA". It matches the Rfam family "Bacterial small subunit ribosomal RNA", at positions 28 to 507 of the family's 1533-position model. The record is from RNAcentral.